This 128-nucleotide small RNA is filed under the name Marmota monax (woodchuck). Lineage: Eukaryota; Metazoa; Chordata; Mammalia; Rodentia; Sciuridae. The record is from RNAcentral.
GCCAGGUGCAGUGAUGCAUGCCUGUAAUCCCAGCAGCUCAGGAGGCUGAGGCAGGAGGAUCAUGAGUUCAAAGCCAGCCUCAGUAACUUACUGAGGCUGUAAGUAACUCAGUGAGACCCCUGUCUCUA